This 344-nucleotide unclassified non-coding RNA is filed under the name soil metagenome. Its description in RNAcentral is "partial contains 5.8S ribosomal RNA, internal transcribed spacer 2, and large subunit ribosomal RNA". The stretch from base 1 to 120 matches the Rfam family "5.8S ribosomal RNA", at positions 35 to 154 of the family's 154-position model. The record is from RNAcentral.
GAUGAAGAACGUAGCGAAAUGCGAUACGUAAUGUGAAUUGCAGAAUUCAGUGAAUCAUCGAGUCUUUGAACGCACAUUGCGCCCCCUGGUAUUCCGGGGGGCAUGCCUGUCCGAGCGUCAUUGCUGCCCUCAAGCACGGCUUGUGUGUUGGGCCUCCGUCCUCCUCCCUGGGGACGGGCCCGAAAGGCAGCGGCGGCACCGCGUCCGGUCCUCGAGCGUAUGGGGCUUCGUCACCCGCUCUUGUAGGCCCGGCCGGCGCUUGCCGACACAUCAAUCUUUUUUCCAGGUUGACCUCGGAUCAGGUAGGGAUACCCGCUGAACUUAAGCAUAUCAAAAGCGGAGGA